This 371-nucleotide long non-coding RNA is filed under the name Pan troglodytes (chimpanzee). RNAcentral describes it as "long non-coding RNA NONPTRT006798". The record is from RNAcentral. Lineage: Eukaryota; Metazoa; Chordata; Mammalia; Primates; Hominidae.
GCAGUCUGGGGCCGCAGACACCCAGCCACUCUGAGCAGAACUGACAGCAUGAAGGCACUCCUGGCCCUGCCGCUGCUGCUGCUUCUCUCCACGCCCCCGUGUGCCCCCCAGGUCUCCGGGAUCCGAGGAGAUGGUAAGCAGCCCCACACUCACAGACGCGGCCUGGCCCACAGGUUGGGCAAGAAGAGGCUGGACUGUCAGAACAGACUGUCAGGGCCGAGCCCCAGCUCUGCAGGACUCAGGUUCCUCCUUUACAAAAUGGGGCAGAUGGAUGACAUAAGCAUUGCUCAUCUCCCUUGAAGAAAUCUUCCAUGACUCCUUGUGUCAAAGUCCCCAGCCCCAGGGACUGAGGCAAACCUUGGGGUGCUGAG